UUGACGUUUUAAUUAGACGACCUUAACAGAAGAAAAUUUGAAUGACAACCCACGGGUUUGCAUCCCAUAUCUGAAGGAAUCUACAAUCAAAACAAGAAACUCAAAUUCAAAACCCAUCAUCAAAGUGGUAAAAAAAACUUUUGUUGCUUGCAGUCCUUGAAGGUAACAGUUUUUACAAAGCAAAAAGUAUAUUGUUGAUGAUAUAAUACAAUAUAACAGGCUAACGAUCCCCCGGGGACAAGACACAUCCAAAAGAUAUUACAGGUAUUGUCGGAAAUAGUUCGUAUGCCGGAGGUUAAGCGCAAAAAUGUCAAAGAAAAAAAAGUGUACUUUUGUAAGGGGUGUCUUCUAAGCCUCCGUUCAAGCGACGAAAUGAAAUGAGAAGAAAGGCGAGUUUAGGUAGCCUAAGCUCUUUAUUGUCCCUAAUGAUAUUUACGGUAAACAUAGGAUUCAAGAUUCACUCUUACCAGAACGAAGUGAAAGCUCUGGGCAGUACACUACAUCGGCGAGAUGGUCAUACUGUAACGUACCUGAGGCAGAGCUUCGAAGAGAGUGUCAAGAAGGGAGCGAACACCUUUGGCCAGCUUUACUAGCUUUAGAACUGUAACGUGACACAAGAAAGAAUAAAUAUGAAAGAUAUGUCAACUAA
Molecule: long non-coding RNA, 649 nt
Organism: Nematostella vectensis (starlet sea anemone)
Lineage: Eukaryota; Metazoa; Cnidaria; Anthozoa; Actiniaria; Edwardsiidae
Exons: 3
Source: RefSeq, a predicted model, not a curated record